AUAGCCAGCAGGUAGAAAUUUUUGCAGAGCACUAAAUAGCUCGCCAUUUUAGAUUUGUUAACAUAACUAGCUGUAUAGCGAGUGCUGUAGCUCUCUCCAAUUUACAGCGCUAGACGAGAGGGAAUGACGGGUAAGAGCAUCCACGCUCAUGCUACCCAAACUUAAUCCUUAGCUGUAAUAGCUGGUAUGAGUGAAAAAAAAAUAGCAUUGUUACUCUCUAUUUGGCUACCUAUUCUUACACUAUGAACAGUACUCGCUAUACGUAGCGAGUAUUGUAGCACUCCUCGAUUGGUAGCGAGAAAGAAGGUGAUCGCGGGAAAGGAAAGAGUGGAGGAUGGGGUUGUGCUUCUAGUUUCUGUUUCGGUUGCUGCGCAGUCUAUGGUGGUGGCUGAAAUGUUUUGGUGUUGUGUGGGAUGAGUUGGAGCUAUUCGAGCUGGGUGAUUUACAUAUCUUGAAGCUGAACCACACAUUCUAGAUUUAAAGAGAGAGAGAGAGAGAGAGAGAGAGAGAAAGCGAUUAGCAGCAGCAAUGGAGGUGGAAUUGAAAGAGAUGCUUAACGAUCUUGAUUAUUUGAAGAAAUCACUGUCAAAUCCUUCAAACCUUGCUUCUUCAUUUCAUAAGCUUGGUCUCGAACUUUUGUUUAGAACAUAGGAAAAGUGAGGCAUAAACUGCGAUGCUGGGCUGUGCUUUGUCAGAGUGGAUGAAUCACUGUAUUAUAUAGGAGAGAAAGUAUAACAUAUGCCUAUUCACGAAUCAUGAGCUGCCUGCUGCAAAGAACUUUUGUUUAUUUCCUUGUGGUGAUGGAAUUGUUUUUACAAAAGUUUAGCAUGUUGGAUCUAUUCCAUGAGCAAGAUAAUAUCCUUUCAUAUAUAGUUAUGUCUAUUUGAUGAAUAGUGAACA
Long non-coding RNA from Populus trichocarpa (black cottonwood), 900 nucleotides. RefSeq lists it as uncharacterized. The transcript has 3 exons. NCBI's taxonomy places the organism in Eukaryota, Viridiplantae, Streptophyta, Magnoliopsida, Malpighiales, Salicaceae. The record is from RefSeq and is a predicted model, not a curated record.